CUUAUAACAUAAGAACGCAGAAGAGCAAAUUCUCCUUUCUAGUUUGUCUCUGAUUCAUUUUGUGCGAGGACUGAAGCGCGGUCAUCUUUCCUUUCUUUACAUACGGCCAACUCAGUUGAGAUUCACCUGUGGGGAUAACGCGUGCCCGCGCAGGGUCUUCUGGAGACCGUUUGAGCCUCGAUCUGCAGACUGUUCAGGGAUCUCCCAGUCGUAUAGGCAGAGAGGGGGGCUCGCAUACUUUGCUCACUCGUGAGCCAUGCAGUCAAAACAAAGAAUGGGAAAUGAGAGCCGGAUAUUUUGAAUCCUGAAGCUACAAGGCAAG
Xenopus laevis (African clawed frog) is the source of this 322-nucleotide long non-coding RNA. RefSeq lists it as uncharacterized. Lineage: Eukaryota; Metazoa; Chordata; Amphibia; Anura; Pipidae. The transcript has 3 exons. The record is from RefSeq and is a predicted model, not a curated record.